UUUUGACUCUUUAUGUCAACAAUCUUCUUACGGAAGAAGCCAUCAUACCUGUACCCAUAAAAGAAAGAUUCCAGGGAUAUUAUUCCCCCCUGUUCUUGGUCAAGAAGCCAGAGGGCAAAUGGAGGCCUAUUUUAGAUCUCCACCAGCUCAACCUUUAUCUGAGAGUCAGAAAAUUCUGGAUGGAAUCCAUUCGCUCCAUCAUUCCGGUUGUUCAUCACCAAGAUUGGAUGAUAUCAGUAGACCUCAGGGAUGCAUAUUUUCAUGUCCCUAUCACGUUCACCCAUCAAAGGUUUCUCAGGUUUUGUGUCCGGAAGGAACACUUUCAAUUUCAG
Molecule: long non-coding RNA, 332 nt
Filed under: Pelobates cultripes (western spadefoot toad)
Lineage: Eukaryota; Metazoa; Chordata; Amphibia; Anura; Pelobatidae
Source: RNAcentral